RNAcentral lists this non-coding RNA (28 nucleotides) under Rattus norvegicus (Norway rat). Lineage: Eukaryota; Metazoa; Chordata; Mammalia; Rodentia; Muridae. The record is from RNAcentral.
GACUUCUUUUCGAAGGAUACUUCUCCUG